GUGGGUAGCGGUGAAAUUCCAAUCGAGCCCGGAGAUAGCUGGUUCUCCCCGAAAUAGCUUUAGGGCUAGCCUCAAGGUGAGAGAUACGGAGGUAGAGCACUGAAUGUCCUAGGGGGUAUUGCACCUACCGAAGACUAUCAAACUCCGAAUGCCGUCAUCUUAUACUUGGGAGUCAGACUGUGGGUGAUAAGAUUCAUAGUCGAAAGGGCAACAGCCCAGAUCGUCAGCUAAGGUCCCUAAAUGUAAGUUAAGUGGUAAAGGAUGUGGGAUUGCACAGACAACCAGGAUGUUGGCUUAGAAGCAGCCACUCAUUCAAAGAGUGCGUAAUAGCUCACUGGUCGAGUGAUCCUGCGCCGAAGAUUUCCGGGGCUAAAACUUACUACCGAAGCUACGGCAUCAGUAAUGAUGGGUAGGGGAGCUUCCCAUACGGGUUGAAGCAUGACCGUAAGGACAUGUGGACAGUAUGGGAGUGAGAAUGUUGGCAUGAGUAGCGAGAUGUGGGUGAGAAUCCCACAGGCCGUAAACCCAAGGUUUCCAGGGGAAGGUUCGUCCGCCCUGGGUUAGUCGGGACCUAAGCUGAGGCCGAAAGGCGUAGGUGAUGGACAACAGGUUGAUAUUCCUGUACUACCGAUAACCGUUUGAGAGAAGGGAUGACACAGUAGGAUAAGCUAAGCACACUGUUGGUUAUGUGUGCCCAAGCAUUGAGGCAGUCAAAGUAGGCAAAUCCGCUUUGAUAAUGCUGGGAUGUGAUGGGGAGCGAAAUUUAGUAGCGAAGUAGCUGAUUUCACACUGUCAAGAAAAGUCUCUAUCGAGGUUAAAGGUACCCGUACCGCAAACCGACACAGGUGGGUGAGGAGAGUAUCCUAAGGCCAGCGAGAGAACUGUUGUUAAGGAACUCGGCAAAAUGACCCCGUAACUUAGGGAUAAGGGGUGCCACCAUCAGGUGGCCGCAGAGAAUAGGCCCAAGCGACUGUUUACCAAAAACAUAGGUUUCUGCUAAGUCGCAAGACGAUGUAUAGG
Molecule: ribosomal RNA, 1020 nt
Filed under: Clostridioides difficile
Lineage: Bacteria; Bacillati; Bacillota; Clostridia; Peptostreptococcales; Peptostreptococcaceae
Description: bacterial LSU rRNA
Rfam family: Bacterial large subunit ribosomal RNA
Source: RNAcentral